AGUCCUGUAGUGUAUUCAUAUCAGAUUGCAAACCUGAAGAAGCGGAUGACACCGCCGGGGCUU
This 63-nucleotide transfer RNA is filed under the name Scutiger ningshanensis (Ningshan alpine toad). RNAcentral describes it as "tRNA-Cys". The record is from RNAcentral. Lineage: Eukaryota; Metazoa; Chordata; Amphibia; Anura; Megophryidae.